UGACCUCGGAUCAGGUAGGAAUACCCGCUGAACUUAAGCAUAUCAAUAAGCGGAGGAAAAGAAACCAACAGGGAUUGCCCUAGUAACGGCGAGUGAAGCGGCAACAGCUCAAAUUUGAAAUCUGGCUACUUUGUAGUCCGAGUUGUAAUUUGUAGAGGAUGCUUUUGGUGAAGUGCUUUCUGAGUUCCCUGGAACGGGACGCCAGAGAGGGUGAGAGCCCCGUACAGUUAGCAACUGAUCCUUUGUAUAGCUCCUUCGACGAGUCGAGUAGUUUGGGAAUGCUGCUCUAAAUGGGAGGUAUAUCUCUUCUAAAGCUAAAUAUAGGCUAGAGACCGAUAGCGCACAAGUAGAGUGAUCGAAAGAUGAAAAGCACUUUGAAAAGAGAGUUAAACAGCACGUGAAAUUGUUGAAAGGGAAGCGCCUAUGACCAGACUUGUCUCUAUCAGUUUUGGUAGUUUUCGGACUGCUUUACUCUGUUAGUACAGGCCAACAUCAGUUUGUUGUCGGGGAGAAAGGCUUAGGGAAUGUGGCUCCCUCGGGAGUGUUAUAGACCUUUGCAUAAUACCCUUCG
Molecule: ribosomal RNA, 571 nt
Filed under: Ambrosiella beaveri
Lineage: Eukaryota; Fungi; Ascomycota; Sordariomycetes; Microascales; Ceratocystidaceae
Description: eukaryotic LSU rRNA
Rfam family: Eukaryotic large subunit ribosomal RNA
Source: RNAcentral